This 734-nucleotide small RNA is filed under the name Pongo abelii (Sumatran orangutan). RNAcentral's name for it is "retained intron". Lineage: Eukaryota; Metazoa; Chordata; Mammalia; Primates; Hominidae. The record is from RNAcentral.
AGAAUUACCCCCUCUACAUUCGCAGCACCCCUACGGAGAACAAGCUGAAGUUUCACUACAUGGUGCAUACAUCUCUGGACGUGGUGGAUGAGAAGAUCUCCGCAAUGGGGAAGGCUCUGGUCGACCAGAGGGAGCUGUACCUGGGCCUGCUCUACCCCACGGAGGACUACAAGGUAUAUGGCUACGUCACCAACUCCAAGGUGAAGUUUGUCAUGGUGGUAGAUUCCUCCAACACAGCCCUUCGAGACAACGAAAUUCGCAGCGUAAGUCAGGGAGUUAGAAGGCCAUGCCCAAAUAGGUGUUUUGUUUUUCCUUUUUGACUUUGUUUUGAAACGCUGAGAAACCAAAAAUCUAGCAGUGUCUGUGUGUACGUGGCAAGGUCACGGUUUGCUGGGUCUUUUUCAGAUGUUCCGGAAGCUACACAACUCCUACACGGACGUGAUGUGCAACCCCUUCUACAACCCGGGGGACCACAUCCAGUCCAGGUGGGCCCUACUUUCUGUGUCCGCAUCCAGUCCGGGUGGGCCCUGCUUUCUGUGUCUUGCCGCCUUCUUUCUGUAGGACCUGCCUUGCCAUUUUGGUUGCCAAAAUGCAACCAUUUGGAAAAUAAGGGAGGAAAGGUCUUUUUAAGCUAUGAGCACUAUCCCCCUAGGGCGGAGGUUUUACAGCCACAAAGCCUUGUUUCUCCACACCAACUCUUACACAGAUCUCCAGCGCAUAAAGUGGAUAGAGUG